This 119-nucleotide ribosomal RNA is filed under the name Pteropus alecto (black flying fox). Lineage: Eukaryota; Metazoa; Chordata; Mammalia; Chiroptera; Pteropodidae. The record is from RNAcentral.
GUCUACGGCCAUGCCAUCCUGAACGUGCCUGAUCUUGUCUGAUCUCAGAAGCUAAGCAGGGUCGGGCCUGGUUAGUACUUGGAUGGGAGACCACCUAGGAAGACCAGGUGCUGUAGGUG